GUGCCAGCAGCCGCGGUAAAUACAGAGGGUGCAAGCGUUAAUCGGAAUUACUGGGCGUAAAGCGAGCGUAGGGUGGCUUGAUAAGUCAGAUGUGAAAGCCCCGGGGCUUAACCUGGGAGCGGCAUCUGAUACUGUUAGGCUAGAGUAGGUGAGAGGAAGGUAGAAUUCCAGGUGUAGCGGUGAAAUGCGUAGAGAUCUGGAGGAAUACCGAUGGCGAAGGCAGCCUUCUGGCAUCAUACUGACACUGAGGUUCGAAAGCGUGGGUAGCAAACAGGAUUAGAUACCCUGGUAGUCC
Molecule: ribosomal RNA, 295 nt
Filed under: uncultured microorganism
Description: partial 16S ribosomal RNA
Rfam family: Bacterial small subunit ribosomal RNA
Source: RNAcentral